Molecule: long non-coding RNA, 842 nt
Filed under: Homo sapiens (human)
Lineage: Eukaryota; Metazoa; Chordata; Mammalia; Primates; Hominidae
Description: HSALNT0405202
Source: RNAcentral
GGGAUUUCUGAGGCAGUUUGGAAGGGACUUUGCCCUCAGAAUUCUGCCCCCAACUAAAUUCUCCAUUUUCCCUCUGAACCCUUCUCUCUGCUCAGUGAUGAGUGGGCACCCUGAGAGUGCAGGGGUCCCCUCCCAGGAACUACAUGGGAGGGGCAGCAAGGUACUGUUGCCACACAAGCUGUCCAGCCUCCCGGCCUUGUGCAGACUGGUACCUGGGUUACCCUUCCUGCCCCUCCCUCCGCCUGGCCAAACUACUCCCCUGUCAGGAUCCAGGGCAAGAUGAGUCUUUCUAGUUCCCCUGCCACCAGGCCAAGGAAGAGCCAAUUACUCCCUCCUCUGUCGGUCCCAGGAGCCCAGCCUUCGAGUCAUCCCAGCCCGGGCACCAGACGUAAGUGAUGAGGCUUCCAGAUGAUUCCUGCCCCAGCUGUUCAGGGCUCCCAGCAGAGAAGAGCUGUACCCACAGAGCCCUGCUUGGCUUCUUGACCUGCGGAAUCCAUGACCCUGUUACACCCCUAAGUUCUGUGAUGGUUCAUUAUAACAACAGAUCACCGGACCAUGGAAAUUACUUCUCCUCUUCUACUCUUUAGGCUAACUCGUUUUUAUAUAAACAACUCAUCCCCACCCAGACACACACACAAGGCCCUAGAGCAGCAGUUUCCGAACAGUGCCGUAUCCCCCGGGGAUCUCUAAAAAAUACUGACACCCAGACAAUAGGGGGGAAUCCUAAAAAUACCUGACCAAGACUAUUCAAGAUUGCCAGGCUCAUGAAAAACAAAGAAAAGUCUGAUACUACAUCCUGGAUGGGACGUAACAUUAAAACUGAGAAAAUCGGAAUAAACUAU